Molecule: ribosomal RNA, 665 nt
Filed under: Enterobacteriaceae bacterium RF2
Lineage: Bacteria; Pseudomonadati; Pseudomonadota; Gammaproteobacteria; Enterobacterales; Enterobacteriaceae
Description: bacterial SSU rRNA
Rfam family: Bacterial small subunit ribosomal RNA
Source: RNAcentral
UCGAACGGUAACAGGAGCAGCUUGCUGCUUCGCUGACGAGUGGCGGACGGGUGAGUAAUGUCUGGGAAACUGCCCGAUGGAGGGGGAUAACUACUGGAAACGGUAGCUAAUACCGCAUAAUGUCGCAAGACCAAAGAGGGGGACCUUCGGGCCUCUUGCCAUCGGAUGUGCCCAGAUGGGAUUAGCUUGUUGGUGAGGUAACGGCUCACCAAGGCGACCAUCCCUAGCUGGUCUGAGAGGAUGACCAGCCACACUGGAACUGAAACACGGUCCAGACUCCUACCGGAGGCAGCAGUGGGGAAUAUUGCACAAUGGGCGCAAGCCUGAUGCAGCCAUGCCGCGUGUAUGAAGAAAGCCUUCCGGUUGUAAAGUACUUUCAGCGGGGAGGAAGGGGUUAAGGUUAAUAACCUUAGCCAUUGACGUUACCCGCAGAAGAAGCACCGGCUAACUCCGUGCCAGCAGCCGCGGUAAUACCGAAGGUGCAAGCGUUAAUCGGAAUUACUGGGCGUAAAGCGCACGCAGGCGGUCUGUCAAGUCGGAUGUGAAAUCCCCGGGCUCAACCUGGGAACUGCAUUCCAAACUGGCAGGCUUGAGUCUCGUAGAGGGGGGUAGAAUUCCAGGUGUAGCGGUGAAAUGCGUAGAGAUCUGGAGGAAUACCGGUGGCG